This is a non-coding RNA of Saimiri boliviensis boliviensis (Bolivian squirrel monkey), 1703 nucleotides long. Lineage: Eukaryota; Metazoa; Chordata; Mammalia; Primates; Cebidae. The record is from RefSeq and is a predicted model, not a curated record.
AGAACUGGCUUCCUAGCAUCAGGGUGCCCUGGCUUAGGAGGCCCCUGCUGUAGAAGCAGUGGCAUCUGUGGCCAGCUUGGGGGGCUCACAAGGAUGCCCUGGUCUGGCAGACAGUCUCAGUUGGGCAUGGUUUCAUCUGGGAAGGCCACAGACACAUCUUCCACUGUGAUGCUGUCCACGAUGGAGGGACCCCUGGGGCGGGGACAUUGUCCUCUCUGUGGAGAAGGUCAGCCACCAGGCGCCAGCUGGGGAGCUGCAGGAGCCACCAUCACUCCUUUGCUGGUCAAGACUACAGGGGCACACAGAACCUCCCAGCCCACCCUUUAGGGCCCUGGAGUCCGUAGGUCUCUGCAGAGACCCAAGGAAGAGGACCAGAGCAAGGAAUAAGCACCUUCAUUACACUACAUCCGUCGGAUGAGACUCUUUUAAAGACCUCCCCUCGAAAAGAAUGGGACUGCUUCAGAUUCUGGGUAUCCACGGGCACUCAGUAUCCAGGGAUAAGAAGGAUCGCGACUCAGAGUAGCUAAUGAAUUCCACUUUCGGGGUUCCCAAGCGGCUUUGACCUGUAUGUUCUCUUAGGUCUCAUGUGAUGGCAGGGGGUAAAUUGAGGCAAGAGAAAUUAUUUGGGUUUUGGUUUUCUUGCCAGGGGUCAAGAGAAAUCUUCUCUUUAAUACAGCAGCCGUGGUCAGAACAGGGAUUAGAAUUUACAGCCUACACGUUGCCACCUUCCCCGGAGCGUCAAGGUCAAGAUUACUAAGCUCCCUGUCUCCUCCCUGUCUCACUCUGGACCAUUGAUCUGUCCUUCUGUGUUACCUCCUCAACUCUUUUUCCAGCACCAGAAUUUUCCUGACUCAUUACUGUGGAUGGGGGUGGGAAAGGAGAAAAAACAGAGCCCUUCUAACUCAGUUUAAAUCUCCUCUCUCCUCGACCACCGGGCUUGGUUGUUCUGCCUCUUCCUGUCCAAGGCAUCCAUUUUACAAGUAACAUGCAGGUCUCAAAUGUCAGGUGGAGCAGGGACUAUUUAAUCUUCAGGCCUCUCAGGCCAUGAUCACUUCUCAGUAGGUGCCUCAGGGUCUGAGAAGACAAAUUCCUUCCAAUGCAGUGGGCAGACUUCAGACAACAGCAUGAACAGGGCUCAGUCUUAGGGCUGGGAAUUAUAGGGACACCCCAGACAGGGUCCCUGCCCUCGACCUUACCAUCUAGUAGACAACGGUGGUCACCUCUUUCUACCCAGCCCCUGAUGCCCGAAUCCCCUCCCAGGUGGCCACUGUCAGCUUCUCACUCAUGUCAGGAGACAGCUCGUUCCAUUGGUGUGCAACUUUGAGCUGCAAUCUGCUCCCUGUGUCUUUUACCCUUUGUUCCCAGUUUUUUUCCCCCUAGGACCCCAUAAUCUAAAUCUGAUCUGUCGUACUCCUCAUCCGAUGACAGGUCAAACUGAUGAGUUCAAGCCAGUGGCAAGGACAAUGGAGGGAGGACAAGACUUCACAGGGAAGGGGAGACCUGCAUGGCAUGUGACGAACCAGAGUUCCUUCUCGUCAUUAUUCCCAGCAAAGGAGCCAGGAGGAUUCUGAUGGGCUUUUGGGAUAGGAAGCAGAGGGAAGGCGGGAACAUGGCUGGGCAAGAAAAGAACCCUGAGCAUGUUGAGGGGGAGCUGUGAGGUCUUAAUUCUGUUCUUGGCCUUACCGGCAUGAUAGAAAGUAGCA